GGCCGUGUGGUCUAGUAGUAUGAUACUCGCUUUGGGUAGUGAUCUUCAUUGAAGAACAACACAUCUGCGAGUGGUCCAGGGUUCAAUUCCCUGCUCGGCCC
Molecule: non-coding RNA, 101 nt
Organism: Sugiyamaella lignohabitans
Lineage: Eukaryota; Fungi; Ascomycota; Dipodascomycetes; Dipodascales; Trichomonascaceae
Source: the annotation of a RefSeq genome assembly